Molecule: transfer-messenger RNA, 387 nt
Filed under: uncultured Acetatifactor sp.
Lineage: Bacteria; Bacillati; Bacillota; Clostridia; Lachnospirales; Lachnospiraceae
Rfam family: transfer-messenger RNA
About the family: Bacterial tmRNA, also known as 10Sa RNA or SsrA, is named for its dual tRNA and mRNA-like properties.
Source: RNAcentral
GGGGUAGUAAAGGUUUCGACAGGGGUCUUGCAGCUGGAGAAGCUAUCCGCACGCAAUGCGUUAAAUGGCAAACCUAAACUAAACGCUGAUGACAAUCAGUAUGCACUUGCUGCUUAAUCCUUAGGGGUUAGGUUGUAAGCGACGCCGUCUUUACGGCUCGUCCGUCCUCUGCACCCAUACGGAGGGUUGCGGGCGUCAUGAUAUGGGAAACGACUCUCACAAAGCUUUGCGUGAGAUGGGCGUAAUAUGAAGCUACCAAAGCGGUGUGUUCGUCAUCUGACAGCCGCGAUGGGAACAGGGGUGAAGAACUCGAAAACAGCUGACUAUGAUAGUAGAAGGACAGGGAAUGGGCUUUUGGACACGGGUUCGACUCCCGUCUACUCCACU